RNAcentral lists this unclassified non-coding RNA (251 nucleotides) under Hevea brasiliensis (rubber tree). The record is from RNAcentral. Lineage: Eukaryota; Viridiplantae; Streptophyta; Magnoliopsida; Malpighiales; Euphorbiaceae.
AGACUGCUGAGAAAGAAAAGUAUUUAUUUAUAUGCACUGAAAAUAGCUGCAUAAAGUUUAUUAAGAGUAAUUUUACAAUGGGUUGAAGGGUAACCUAUGACUUCAAAGAGGUUGGCAUUGCAAGGUUGACUGCAGUUCCCCCAGCUGAGUCUUUCCAUUGUUGUGUCACUGUUUUGAUCUGUGUGAAGAAGUUGACCCCAGCCUUGCCAUAAAAAUUGAGAUCCCCAGCAAAAGAUGCCUUGGAGCCGGUG